GAUGAACGCUGGCGGCGUGCCUAAUACAUGCAAGUCGAGCGAACAGAUAAGGAGCUUGCUCCUUUGACGUUAGCGGCGGACGGGUGAGUAACACGUGGGUAACCUACCUAUAAGACUGGAAUAACUCCGGGAAACCGGGGCUAAUGCAGGAUAACAUGUUGAACCGCAUGGUUCUACAGUGAAAGGCGGCUUUGCUGUCACUUAUAGAUGGACCCGCGCCGUAUUAGCUAGUUGGUGAGGUAACGGCUCACCAAGGCAACGAUACGUAGCCGACCUGAGAGGGUGAUCGGCCACACUGGAACUGAGACACGGUCCAGACUCCUACGGGAGGCAGCAGUAGGGAAUCUUCCGCAAUGGGCGAAAGCCUGACGGAGCAACGCCGCGUGAGUGAUGAAGGUCUUCGGAUCGUAAAACUCUGUUAUUAGGGAAGAACAAAUGCGUAAGUAACUGUGCGCGUCUUGACGGUACCUAAUCAGAAAGCCACGGCUAACUACGU
Molecule: ribosomal RNA, 496 nt
Filed under: uncultured bacterium
Lineage: Bacteria
Description: partial 16S ribosomal RNA
Rfam family: Bacterial small subunit ribosomal RNA
Source: RNAcentral